This 390-nucleotide ribosomal RNA is filed under the name uncultured bacterium. Its description in RNAcentral is "bacterial SSU rRNA". It matches the Rfam family "Bacterial small subunit ribosomal RNA", at positions 29 to 417 of the family's 1533-position model. The record is from RNAcentral.
AUUGAACGCUGGCGGCAUGCUUUACACAUGCAAGUCGAACGGCAGCACGGGAGCUUGCUCCUGGUGGCGAGUGGCGAACGGGUGAGUAAUGCAUCGGAACGUACCCAGUAGUGGGGGAUAGCCCGGCGAAAGCCGGAUUAAUACCGCAUAUUUCCUGAGGGAGAAAGCGGGGGACCUUCGGGCCUCGCGCUACUGGAGCGGCUGAUGUCGGAUUAGCUAGUUGGUGAGGUAAAGGCUCACCAAGGCGACGAUCCGUAGCUGGUCUGAGAGGAUGAUCAGCCACACUGGGACUGAGACACGGCCCAGACUCCUACGGGAGGCAGCAGUGGGGAAUUUUGGACAAUGGGGGCGAACCCUGAUCCAGCCAUGCCGCGUGAGUGAAGAAGGCCC